Myotis daubentonii (Daubenton's bat) is the source of this 863-nucleotide long non-coding RNA. RefSeq lists it as uncharacterized. Lineage: Eukaryota; Metazoa; Chordata; Mammalia; Chiroptera; Vespertilionidae. The transcript is spliced from 2 exons. The record is from RefSeq and is a predicted model, not a curated record.
UUCCCGGCCGGACCUGGCGCCCCGCGGCGGCCCCACCUGCCCGGCCACUGAGCAUGCCCAGAGCAGCUCCGCCCCGCGUGAUCCGGCUCGGGCUUGGCAGCGGCCCGGAGGCGCGGAGGGGCGGGACCGGGCUGCCGGGCGCCGCCGCCGGAGGUCGGGAAAUCGGGAAGAUCCCGCGGAGGGCAGGGGCCGGGAGUCCCCGAGGGCGGCCCGGGCUGAGUGAUUUCAGGAAAACUGGAACCCCAACCUUAUCCCAUGGAAAACUGGAGAGAAGGAGGUGGUCGCAGUCAUUUAUAGCCAGAGCAAGGACCACAAUCCUGGAGCACAGAUGACUAGAAACAGUAUUUCAGCCUUAGACAGGGACCUGGCUCAUCCAAUUUGGAGAGCGAGAAACUUAGGCGCAGCGACGAUCGCAGCUUGCUAGUGGGGAACUCCUCUAGGGCCUUCUCUGCUGCUGUGUGUGUCUCGGACGCCGCCAUUCAGCGAUACAGGGAAAUUGAAAGUUAAAAAGAAAGCACAUUCUAACCUGGCUGGAAGUUGUAUGCAUAGACCUGGGAGCUAACCUGGAAAUGCAGCCCAUCUUCCUCAUCCCAGAGCUGCCUAUUAUCAUGGAAAGAUUAACAACCUUGUUGCAGAAACUAGAGGCACCAGCCCUUUGCAAAUCCCCAGCUGGCAUUGUCUGUCAUCUGUAACCAUUAUACCCAUUUUUAUUCCUUUUUGCCCACUUCCCCAUGUAAUCUUUGUCCUUGCACCCAUAUAAGCAGCUGGCUUAUAGGGGGGUGGGCAGAGUAGAUUUUCAAGGAUGACCUGCUGCUCUCCCAUACUGCCUGUAUUAUUGGAAUAAACACUCAUACAUGAUUCAA